UGCUAGUUGGUAGUAGGUUUUCUCCCUUCCCCCUCCCUUCUCUCUCUUCCCAGAUCAGCAUAGUGUGUGGUAUCGAGACAGGUGCUCUCAAUCGCAAUCAUCUGAGGCACACAAGCUGGUGGGAGUGACUUAAGCACUACCUUCCUCUCCCAUAUAAGCCAGACACUUACUGCUACUCAAUGCCGGGCCAUUGAACUAUCUCAGUUAGUACUGACUCUUGUUCCGUCUCGCUCCUCGUUGUUACUCCUUGUGCUCAUUACUGUCUCAUGUGUUCUACUUCUGGACUCCCUGCAUUCUUGUCAACCCUCAACUGGAUUCCGCAUCAUUCACCCUGUUCAGCCUGGACAGAUCUGGACCACCAUCAGACAAGCUCCGUCAUUCACAGCACCUGUCGAGACGCUGCUAUCUGCCACGCCACACACCACCUCUGCCUGCCUCAUCCCUCCCUGGUUCCCCACACGGUUAUAGUCAGAUAAGUUCCCUGCUCAUUCUCUGAGUCCAGUUCUGAUUCAUGGAUGUUUGUUCACCUUUAUAUUUUCUGAGCGUAUUUUCCAAACAUGUUUCUAGUUUUCCUAGCCACCAAACUUUCGGCGUUUGCGUGUGUGUUGUAUUUAGCGUUUGGUUGUAACUUUCCUGGCUCAGUGAUACCUAGUUCGGAUUAGGUUCCGUUCAUUCAAUUGUUUGUUUGACGAGACUCGGGUAUUAGCUAUCCUCCCCAUGACACUUCCUGUUGUAGUUUUCUGUGACUUUAUAAAUAAAAGUUAUGUUUUUUUGCUCCUACGCUUGUCUGUCGUGUCUCUGUUGUGCUGCGCUUGAGUUUCUGAUUUGGCAUGGUAACGUGCUCACACCAGGGGAUAUUAUGAAUUGUACAGCAGAUCACACAUGGAGAUGUCUGAGAAUCCAAACCUGCUUUAUUAGAAAAAUGAAAACAAUAUGUAAUUCUUUGGAGAGGAUGGAAGCUUUGAUAGACCAACAACUAUUAUACAGUAUUUUAAACCUUGAGACAUUUAUUUUGUGUCAUCAUUCCUGCUCCAGCCCCUGCCUGGCUUCCUCUGUCUCCCUCUUGAUCUGUCCCUCACUUUCCCUCGUGAUCGGUCUCUCCCUUGCUCAUCCUCUCUCUCCCUCUAUCCUUCUCUUUUGCUUUAUCCUCUUUCCCUCUCUCUUUGUCUCGCACUCAUCCUCUCUCUCUCUCUCCCUCUCCUGUCAGUCCUGCCCAGCCUGGAACCUGCUCAUUGAGAGAUUGGAGGUCAGCUCACCUGCCCAUAAUCACUUCUAUAAAAGCCCAGUUCAUUCUUCUUACUUUCUGCCAGACCAUAGACUCUCAUCGACGGUCAUAGCCAGUAUUCCUGCCAGUCCCCAAUCUGUCUCCAACCUGCCUGCUUCAAGCCACUCCGGCCAGUCUGCCUUGUAUCAGCGACAAACUCACUGCCCCAAUGCACCCCUCAGCCAGCCUUCUCUACUGUUGACUCCCGACCAGUCUGCUGUCGAUUCUCCCCCAAGCCACUGCCUCCAGCCUGCCCUAUUUCAGUGAUUCACUCGACUGCCCGAUCCUCCCCUGCCUGUGCCGAUACUCUGCCCCUGUCGUUGUGCACCACAGAGGAGUGAGAGUUAAAUGUGUAAAGGUCAAGCCUACAGGUGGAUAUAGUGGAUGGAGCACAUUAUCACCAGUGUGGUGCUGCUGGUGUCGUGAUGCGUGACCAUUUCAACGCAGGUGGCAACUGACACAAAACAUUUUUUGAAGGUAAGAAAAAAACUACACAAAAUAGCCCAUAAAAUUGAUGUGUCACCUAUUUCAUGUGUCAUUACUGGCUCAUGGAAUCGUUUGUUUUUUUCCUUUCAUUUUCAUUUUAGCUAGCUAAUUUUGUAGCUGCUGUUGUACAGUUACCACAGGAGUGAACAGCAGAUAGCAUUUACUAAUAGCUCUGUGUGUAAUUGUCAAGUUAAAUCAUUUUAGUUUUGUACAGUAACCCAUUUUAAAGAGCUGAUCAUGAAUUUAGUUGGUCUAAGUAUUAUUGUGCAAUCUUAGCAGUGUUUUUUACAAUAAAAUUACAAGCGUUUCCAGUGAAGUGAACCAGUGAAAAAAUUCUAUCAAUAACACAUUCUGAUUUUUGCAUUCUGUAACCAGAUCUAUCUGGUUCAGGGCCAAGAGCAAGUGCUCAAGGUAAAUUCUAAGAUGCCAGAAUAUGCUGCUCUUUUUUUUUCAGAAUUAUCUCUGGCCUCCAAAGCAUUGAACUGAGAAUUCAUCUUGAAAUAAGCAACAAGGAACCAGUUCAUUUAUGAACAGGAAUAAUUGACAUGAUUAAUUUUUUUCUACUCAGUAAGUUUCUCUGACUUCUCUAAAGUGAUGUUGGCAGCAGCAUGCGUCCGUAAACUUUAUUAAGCAUUUUCAUAUCUUGUAGCUGUAUCUUGUAGUUACUCACUCUCAGAGGACACAAUGUCAUCAACAUAUGACAGACAGCGAAAUAAGUUCAAAAAUGCUUUAUUGUGGUGUAUUCUACAUCAUAUUAUAUGAUUAGAAACAGCCCAUUGGUUCGAGUACAUUACUCAGCUGCUUCUUUACCCUGUAAAAUAAAGAAAUAAUGACAUAAAUACAAGCCUAUUAUCACAUUCUGCCUGCAUAAACAUAUGUUGAGGUUUUACCAUUUGUCAGUUUGAUGAAGCAUAAAGCAAAAAUGCAAUUUUUCAGUCAUGAAUUAGUAACUAUCUGAAGUUUAGUCACUAUUUACCUUGCCAGAGUCCCGGCUCUUAGCUCUGAGCUUGUUGACCUGGGAUUCAGCAAUGUCAGCACGCUCCUCAGCCUCCUCCAGCUCAUGCUGGAUCUUCCUGCACUUGGACAGAUGAACAUUGGCCUGCUCCUCCUGGAAUUCAAAAUAUAGUAAAAUGUUUAGGCUUUUAGAAAUGGUCCAUAGGUUUACAGAUGUGAAAUAAUAUAGUGUCAAAUAGUCAUUGUUUUAAACAAAUGCUUUUCCUUACCGCUUCCUCAGCCUGCCUCUUGUAGGCCUUCACCUUCAGCUGCAGCUUGUCAACCAGGUCCUGCAGCCUGGUAACGUUCUUCUUGUCCUCCUCAGUCUGUAAUAGAAAAUAUAAAUUUAUGUAGACUUUUGUAAUGAUAAGUGUUACAUAAAUCUUUCCUGUGUAUUCCAUGUGUCAGUGGAACUUACCUGAUAGGUGAGUUCCUUCACUCUCCUCUCAUAUUUGCGGACACCCUUCACGGCAUCUGCACCACGUCUCUGCUCAGCCUCAACCUCAGACUCCAACUCACGCACCUUUUAAAACAAGAGAAAAUUAAUAAAUUAUCAACAAUUCAUGUGUUUUCAUACAUUUGUUGAACUGCAGAAAUCUGAUCAUAUUUAUCUUACUCUAGACUCGAGUUUCUGGAGCUGCUUCUUGCCACCCUUCAUGGCCAAGUUCUCAGCCUCAUCCAGACGGUGCUGCAGGUCCUUAACAGCAACCUCCAGGUUCUUCUUCAUCCUCUCCAGGUGAGCACUGGUGUCCUGCUCCUUCUUCAGCUCCUCAGCCAUCAUAGCAGCCUGAAAAAAAUGAUUUUUCAGUGUGAAAUGCCAUCACAAGUCUCUGUUGGGUUGGAGUAUAAUAGCAAACAAAUGAUCUUUAAUCCUACAUCAGUGAUAGCCUUCUUGGCCUUCUCCUCUGCAUUCCUUGCUUCCUGAACAGUGUCAUCCACUUCACUCUGGAUCUGGACCAGGUCAGCCUCGAGCUUCUUCUUGGUGUUCAGCAGGCUUGUGUUCUAAAAGAUGAGAAAUUGGUUGUUAUCUCGUCCCUUCCAUGGUUGUUUAGAUUUGUGAAACGCUGGAGAAAUGUUUAAAGUCAUGUUCACCUGAGAGUGCAGAAGUCCAACACGCUCACUGGCAUCCACCAGCUCCUGCUCCGCGACUUUGCGGCUUCUCUCUGUCUGUUCCAGAGCAGCCCUAAGUUCCUCGAUUUCAGCCACCAUCAGACCGUUCCUGCGGUCCACCAUAGCAGCCUGUUCCUUCAGGUCAUCCUGGGCUCUGACAGCAUCAUCAAGGUGCAGUUGAGCAUCCUAGUGCAAAACAUGAUCGGGAAAGUAUUCAUAUGAAUGUCUGAAUGUUGGUGUACUUACUAUCAUGUGUGCAAGGACUCUUUGUGCUCUGUGUAUUACAAUACCUUGAGCUGUGCCUGCACAUUCCUCAGCUGUUUCUGGGACUCAGAAGCCUGGCGAUUGGCAUGGCUCAGCUGAAUCUCCAUCUCGUUCAGAUCUCCCUCCAUCUUCUUCUUGAUUCUCAGGGCAUCGUUUCUACUCCUGACCUCAGAAUCCAGAGUGCUCUGCAUGGAGUCAAUCACCCUCUGGCUGUUCCUCUUGAUCUGCUCCAUCUCCUCAUCUUUCUCUGCCAGCUUCCUGUCAACCUCACCCUUAAUCUGGUUCAGCUCCAGCUGGACACGCAGGAUCUUAGACUCCUCAUGCUCCAGAGUUCCCUAAUGAUAUCAAAGAACUACAUAUUGACCUCUGCCUUUAAAGCUUUUAUGCAAUGUUAGUUCAUGACUUAAAGUUGUUUCUGUUAAGAAGGUCUCCUCAGAGAAACAGACAAAGGUUUACCUCAGCCUCUUCAAGAGCUGUCUGGAUCUCAGACUUCUCUGUCUCCACCUGCUUCUUGGCCUUCUCCAGCUCAUGGAUGCUCUUGCCAGUCUCACCAAUCUGUUCAGUCAGAUCUGAGAUCUCCUCUGCAGAUGGAUGCAGAUGUUUAAUAUGUGAAAGCUGUGAAAUGGCAAUUGUACAACUUUCCUCUGACAAACACAUGCACGUCUUUUAAAGCAACUAAGUUCUAACAGCUAACUGCUGUUGUUAAUACAAUGUGGUAUUAACUCACGCUGCAGGUUCUUGUUUUCACGCUUCAUGGUCUCCAGCUGAUCCAGAGCCUCCUCAUAAGAGUUCUUCAUCUUGAACAGCUCAGUGCUGAGAGUACGAGCCUCCUUCUGAGCUCCCUCAAGCUCUGCCUGACCCUCCUCAUACUUCUGCUUCCACUCUGCCAGCACCUGAACAACACAGUUUAUACAGUUAUAUAUACAUACAUCCAGAAAUCCCUUUUCUAGCUUCAUUUCUUGGUUGCAAAAAGUAAAAGAUGUUACCUUGUCAAAGUUCCUCUGCUUCUUGUCCAGGUUGGCAGCCAGCCCAUUAGCUCUCUCCACAUCAAUCAUGAGGUCCUCCACCUCACUCUGGAGCCUCUGUUUGGUCUUCUCCAGAGAGGCACAUUUGGAAUUGACAGCCUCAAUCUGCUCCUCAGCCUCCUGAAGGCGCUGAGCCAACUUUUUCCUGUAGGAAAAGUCACAUUUGUCUUGUUAUUUGUCGACCUAUGCUGUAAUGCUAUACGUCUGAAUAUUCAGUUGUUUGAAUAUUACUCACUUGGCUUCCUCAAGCUCCUCUGUGCGCUGGAUAGCGUCGGUUUCAUACUUAGUUCUCCACUGAGCCACCUCACUGUUAGCCUUGGACAUUCCACGCUGCAGCUCAGCCUUGGCCUCCUGCUCCUCCUCAAACUGCUCCCUCAGCAGGUCGCAGUCAUGGCGGGCAGAUUGCAGUCCAUGGGCAAGAGCAUUCUUGGCCUGGAAUUAGACAUACAAUUGAAUGUGCAAAAUGUCUAAAUCCCCAACCAAUAAUGGCAAUACAUAUUUAAGAUGAAGGUUUCUUACCUUAACCUCCUCUUCAAUCUGCCUCUUCAGCUCCUCAAUCUGCUGAGUGAAGGCCUGUUUCCCUCUGGUCAGCUGGGAUACAAGAGCCUCUUUCUCCUCAAUUUGACGGCCAAACUCACCUGGAGUGAAAACAAUCAUCAAACUUUAGUCUUUGUUCCGUUUCUCUGUCAAACAGUGAAGAUCACUGCAUUUAGACACUGUUUUGUACAUACCGUUUUCUGUGAGGAGACGAGCUUUCUGUGCACCUGCAUCAUUCAACUGGCGGAUGUUUUCAUCAUUCUUGGUCUUCAGUUCACUAAGUUGGUCCUCAAGAGUACGGCACAUCUUUUCAAGAUUUCCCUAAGAAGGAGAAGAGAAAUCAGAUCAAUGAUUUGGUUGUCUUUAUAUUGAUUACAGUUUUACUGUCAUUUAGAUAUUUAGCACCACAAGUGAAUGUGUUGUGUACCUUUGCUUUAGCAACAGCCUCCAUGUUGCUGGAGAGGUCAUCAAUCUCCAUCUUGUAUUCACUCUUCUCCUUCUCAAGCUUCUGCUUGACGCGCUGCAGGUUGUCGAUCUGCUCUCCCAGCUCAGCGACGCUGUCGGCCUGCUUCUUGCGAAGAGCAGCAGCCGUGGCUUCAUGCUGCAGAGUAGAUUCCUCAAGGUCACGACGGAGCUUCUGGAACUCAGCUUCACGCUUCUUGUUCAUCUCAAUCUGAGCAGCAGUUGCACCGCCGGCCUCCUCCAGCCUCUCGCUGAUCUCCUCAAGUUCCCUGGAGAGGUCAGCCCUCUGCUUCUCAACCUUGGCACGAGCAGCACGCUCAGCCUCAAUCUCCUCCUCCAGUUCCUCAAUGCGGGCCUGUUGGAUGUAGAUAUGUAGUUUUUCAGUAAAUGUUCAACUUUGAGUGACCAAGUAGGAAAUUCAUAAGUGAUGUUUGAAGUAGCACAACGGAUCCGUGACCUGAAGCUCCUUGAUCUUCUUCUGAAGCUGGGCACCCAUUGACUGCUCAUCCUCAAUCUUGCUAAGGAGCUGGCUAAUUUCAAAGUCCUUCCUGUGAGAGUGAUGAAAUGCAUAGUAAGAAUUCAUUCAUACUCUGGACCAUGUCUCCAGACAUAUUCAUUUUUUUUUUCAAUUGAGAUUACAGGCUGAACUUAGUUACUUUUUAGUUUUCUCCUCGGACUGUUGCUUGUCGUUCUCAAGAUCCAUGAUGGAUUCCUGAGCCAGUUUCAGAUCACCCUCCAGCUUCCUCUUGGCUCUCUCAAGGUCCAUACGAAGCUUCUUCUCUUGCUCCAAAGAGCCCUCAAGCUGCACAGGAAUAUGGGUUUGUUAUUGUCAUAUUCAAGAUUCAAGAAGGAUCCUGUUGGACUUGUCCAGACGACUUAAAACUUACAUCAUCGACUUGCUGCUCAAGCUUGGUCUUGGCCUUGGUCAGAGUAUUGACUUUGUCUUCCUCAGCCUGCAGGUCAUCCAGAGUCUGCUGAUGAGCCUCCUGAAGGGCUUUCUUCUCCUUGGUCAGCUUAGCAAUGCUCUCAUCCUGAGAGGCCAUCUCCUCAGUCAGGUUCUUCACCUGUGUUUGCAGGAAACAUGUUAUUUUUGUGUGAAGACAUCAUUCCAAAAUGUUAUUUUAUCUGCUCGAUAUAUUCAAGUUUACAAACCUUGUUCUCAGUGGCAUGUUUCUCCUUUUCCACUUUGGCCAAGGUAAGCUCCAGGUCAUCAAUAUCCUUUUUGAGCUCAGAGCAUUCGUCCUCCAGCUUUCUCUUCUUGGCAGUGAGCUCAGCAUUGAUUUCCUCUUCAUCCUCCAGUCUCUCAGUGGUCUCUUUGAGUUUGGCCUCCAGCUGAAUCUUGCUCUUGAUGAGACCUUCACAUCUCUCCUCAGCAUCUACCAGAUUCU
This is a long non-coding RNA of Amphiprion ocellaris (clown anemonefish), 7529 nucleotides long. RefSeq lists it as uncharacterized. The record is from RefSeq and is a predicted model, not a curated record. The transcript is spliced from 2 exons. NCBI's taxonomy places the organism in Eukaryota, Metazoa, Chordata, Actinopteri, Pomacentridae.